CUACCCCCACCUUUAAUUCAACCAACUCCUCCACUUGCUAAUCGAAAUGUCAACGCCAUCAUCUCAAGGGGCAGAAACCACGCCACUCCGACAACCCACCGGAUUCCGGCAUAAGCCCACCGGAGAACCAGUCCUACGGUCCGAUUUUAAUUCCGCAGCCUCUACUACCCGGCCAGGGAGGAUAUUUUUGCCCGUCGAGGGCUGCAUCGCCAGCGGCUGCCUUCGUUGUUCGCUACCAUUGCACGCUGCACCACUGAAGAAGAGCGAUUUCGAGAACCUGAUUCUGGCCUGAGCAGCUGCGCCUGAAGCGUCUGUUGAAAUCGAGAGCGAGGCAUCAAAUCUUUCUGCAGAUUCCUGCCUGAUUAUUCAAGUUGGCGGCUUCCCGCCGUAAGUUGCCGAAUUCUUGGGUAGCUUGAGUCGGUCGACUACUUCGGUAGCUUGUUCCUGUUUGUAGAGUGAAUUGCUGUCGGGUGUUCGAUGGGCAACCGGUUUGGGAAGAUAUGCGGUUGCUGCAUCGUGUCAGGGCGCCGGCGCGGCGACGUCCUAGCAAUCGGCGGCAGCGGAGGAGGGCCUGAUGAGGGCCUCGGUCACUCCUUCUGUUAUAUACGGCCGGACCUGGCGCGCCUCUCGUCGUCGAAGGUCCACCACUCGGAGGAGACCACCACUUUCCGGUCGAUAUCCGGAGCCGCGUUAGGCGCCAACACCUCUACACCUCUGUCUACGGACCUCUGCUCCUAUGCCGCUGCGACGGCUGUCUCUGCGUCAGCAGCCUUCGAGAGCUCCGACUCGUUCCAGUCGAUUCCGCUCCAACCUGUGCCGCGGUUUGGUGGUGGUGGUGGCGGCGGCGGCGGAGUAUUUUCGGGGCCGAUCGGAGUUCCACCCUUUUCGGGCCCAAUUGAACGAGGAUUUAUGUCCGGGCCAAUCGAGCGGGGAUUCCUGUCGGGCCCUCUAGAUAAGGCGGUGUUUUCCGGCCCGCUGGAAAAGUUCCAGCGGAGCUUCUCCCAUGGCGGCAUAUUCGCUGGUCGGCACCGGAAAGCCUCCUUAAUUAAGGCCCUUCGGCGGGCCAUCACCAGUGCGGUUGCUCGGUCAUCAAUUGUAGCGCCAAUUAAGUUAGGCGUCUCCGGAUUUUCAAAGGAGAAGAAGUUCUCUUCUGGUGGUAGUGGCGCUGUUGCUGAAAAUGUGAGCUGCGACGGCGGCGGCGGUGGUAGUGAAUUGGGUACAAAUGAUGAAGACUUUUCCUUUGAGAGUCAGAACCUUCAGUGGGCGCAGGGUAAGGCAGGGGAAGACAGAGUACAUGUAGUGAUAUCUGAGGAGCAUGGAUGGCUCUUUGUUGGAAUCUAUGAUGGAUUCAAUGGCCCAGAUGCUCCUGAUUACCUCCUAUCCAAUCUCUACACUGCUGUUCAAAUGGAGCUCAAGGGUCUCCUCUGGGACCAGCCGCCAUCCAUGGUCGGUGCUCAACAGAAUGGCUGUUCUAGCUCUGUAGAGGAACCAAACGUCAAUGGCUCCGACCAAAAUUGGACGAUCGGAGGUUAUGGGAAUUCAGAGAAUGCCGAGAAGAAAAAGAACGCGAUGAAGAGGUGGAAGAGAAGGAAUGGCAGGAGCAGGUUCAAGGGAGUGACCAAAAAGUGGGAGGAGAGCCAGAGGAGAUGGAAGGAGCAGUAUGGAAGCAGCGCCGCGACAGAAGGAACGGUUGAUCAUGGCAGAGUUUUGAAGGCGCUCGCUCGCGCAUUGAGGAAGACAGAGGAGGACUACUUGGAGAUCGCGGACAAGAUGCUUUCAGAGAAUCCUGAAUUGGCUCUAAUGGGGUCCUGUGUUCUGGUGAUGCUGAUGAAGGGAGAGGAUGUUUACUUGAUGAAUGUUGGGGACAGCAGGGGGGUUUUAGCUCAAAAGGUAGAAGCAGAUUUGUGGGACUUGGAAAGAAUCAAUGAGGAAACGCCCACUGAUCUCCAGUUCCGCGAUGAAGACUACAGCUUCUCAGAUAAUACACCAUCCUUGUCUGCGCUUCAGCUCACCUUGGAUCAUAGUACCAGCGUGGAAGAGGAAGUUGCAAGAAUUAGAAAGGAGCAUCCAGAUGAUGCUUGUACUAUCAUGAACGACAGAGUCAAGGGCUCUCUCAAGGUCACAAGAGCAUUUGGAGCAGGCUUUCUUAAGCAGCGAAAGUGGAAUGAUGCUCUACUACAGAUGUUCCAAAUAGAUUACAUUGGAACUGCACCAUAUCUCACUUGUGCUCCCUCUCUGUAUCACCACCGACUCGGUCCGAGGGAUAGAUUCUUGAUACUGUCAUCGGAUGGGCUCUAUCAAUACUUCACCAAUGAGGAAGCUGUGGCUGAGGUUGAGACGUUCAUCCAGUCAUAUCCAGAAGGAGACCCAGCACAACAUCUUGUUGAGGAAGUUCUCUUCCGCGCAGCAAAGAAAGCAGGUAUGGAUUUUCAUGAACUGCUGGAAAUACCGCACGGUGAUCGACGCAGAUAUCACGAUGAUGUCUCCAUAAUUGUGGUUUCUUUGGAAGGAAGAAUCUGGAGAUCAUGUGUGUAAAUACAGCUAGACAGAACCCAUUCAGUACUUACGGAAAAGUUAGAACUUUUCUGGUUUUUUUGCAGUCACCAUUGUACAAUCCAAGCUGAACUUUCCAAUGUGGAUCUUGCUUGCAUCUAUCUGUCAUCGGGGUUGAAAGAGAGUUAUAAUGCAAUUCAACAACUAUAGUAACAUCCCCUGAUCUCUCAUCUUCCUUCUCUGCAUUCGACUCCCCUCCAUUGUCAGCCACCAUCUUCACUCUUCCGUUUCUCGAGUUCUGCUUUCCGAACACAAACAAAAGCCGAAAAGCAGAGUAACAAACAAUACCUGCUUCUUUGGCGGCAAAUAAAGGCGACCCACGUGAUGAUAGCAAAGAUGCAACUGCUCCGAGUACAGAAGUAAAAUUUUCAUUCAAAGUCCAUGUUGUCGUGCAUGCAUAAUCUAAUGCACGCAGCACGCUGCUUC
This is an RNA transcript of Nymphaea colorata (pocket water lily), 2979 nucleotides long. It is a transcript of the gene named probable protein phosphatase 2C 23, with no coding region annotated. The transcript is spliced from 6 exons. The record is from RefSeq and is a predicted model, not a curated record. Lineage: Eukaryota; Viridiplantae; Streptophyta; Magnoliopsida; Nymphaeales; Nymphaeaceae.